UUUCAUUCACAUGUUGCCAGAUUCACCUUUCUAAAAUAUAGCUCUGAUUAUAACAUUACCUCACUCAAACAUAUUCGAGAGCACUCCAAAUUCUUCUAGCCACUGGGACAUCCAAAGUCCUGUACUAAACAGCUUCAAACUACACUUCUUUUCUGUCAUUUCCCUGUUAUCUAAUGGAACUACUUAACAUUCCCCAAAAGUUUUCAAGAGGAGGAAUAUAUAUUUGUUGCACUUAGGAAUCUUUUUGAAGAGUAAAUGUUUAUGGUCACCUAAGUCAAAGUUGCAUCACACACCAGGAUGAGACACUAAAGGCAGCCAUGCUGAUGCCAACAUCUUGGUGUUGUCAUUACAGGUGUGGCAACAACCUGACGCUGUUCACUUUCCCGCCUUCUUAGGGCCAAUUCCU
RNAcentral lists this long non-coding RNA (406 nucleotides) under Bos taurus (domestic cattle). Its description in RNAcentral is "long non-coding RNA NONBTAT009002". Lineage: Eukaryota; Metazoa; Chordata; Mammalia; Artiodactyla; Bovidae. The record is from RNAcentral.